AAUAAUGACCUCGCCCAAACAAAAUAGGAAAUAAAUGACCCAAAUGUAAAACAACCCAAUGAUAAACUCUGAAAAGGGAAAGCGGAGAGACUUAUGUCUCUAGAAUCUAUCAGUUGAAAUUAAUGUCCACACCUCCAUUUCCAUGGAAAUUUCAGUCCAAUGAGAUAAUGAGUAGCACAUCAAUAAUCGAUCUACUAGUUCACCUCAACAAGAACUCAUAAUUUGAUUCAUCGAUUCUUCAGCUAAUUUCGUGCUUCACUGUAAACUAAGUUCCAUUAUACCCUAAUUAUCUUUGGUAUAUAGAGAUUCUGGAUAUGUCGAUCUGUUAAUACAAAAAAUAGGCUACCUGAGACGUGAUUUGUUCUUGGGGAAACUCUCAAAUACUCUCACAGAUGUGGAAAGGUGGAACGAUACCCGACUUUAUAAAAAAUUCCUAGAUGACAUUUGCAAUCAUGUUACGAAGAAAUUUGAGGUAGUUGAGGAUUUUGAAUAAUGGGAUAGACCGUGGUAGCUGAUAAACAGUUCAGGAAAGUUCACUAUUGGAAGUGCUUGGGAACUGCUAUGACAAAUAUGAGAAUAAGCAGGUAUACAAUGAAAUUUAGGGAAAAAUGGUGCCUUUCAAGAUUAGUUUUUUCUUCUAGAGGUUGUGGAAGCAAAGAAUCCUAUUGGAGAAUUUCAAAUAAAAAUAGGACUGGUGAAUAAUGUUGUUUGUUGUUGUUGUGAUAGUGUUCUAGUUGAGACCUUUCAACAUUUGUUUAUGAGUGUUCAAAUACUAAUGAGAUUUUGAAGUUGUUGAUUUCACUUCAUAUUUUGACUCCAAA
RNA transcript from Capsicum annuum, 821 nucleotides. RefSeq lists it as uncharacterized. NCBI's taxonomy places the organism in Eukaryota, Viridiplantae, Streptophyta, Magnoliopsida, Solanales, Solanaceae. The record is from RefSeq and is a predicted model, not a curated record. The transcript is spliced from 3 exons.